Molecule: ribosomal RNA, 253 nt
Filed under: uncultured bacterium
Lineage: Bacteria
Description: partial 16S ribosomal RNA
Rfam family: Bacterial small subunit ribosomal RNA
Source: RNAcentral
UACAGAGAGUGCGAGCGUUAAUCAGAAUUACUGGGCGUAAAGCGCAUGUAGGUGGAUAACUAAGUCGAAUGUGAAAGCCCUGAGCUUAACUUGGGAAUUGCAUCCGAUACUGGUUGUCUAGAGUAUGGUAGAGGGAAGUGGAAUUUCCGGUGUAGCGGUGAAAUGCGUAGAUAUCGGAAGGAACACCAGUGGCGAAAGCGGCUUCCUGGACUAAUACUGACACUGAGAUGCGAAAGCGUGGGGAGCAAACAGG